This 370-nucleotide unclassified non-coding RNA is filed under the name Hevea brasiliensis (rubber tree). The record is from RNAcentral. Lineage: Eukaryota; Viridiplantae; Streptophyta; Magnoliopsida; Malpighiales; Euphorbiaceae.
AUCAAGCAGGCAGUAAAGGCGCUGAGGAGGAGCAAGAGCGAGAAGGGGGUCCCGGAGGACGUGAAGGAGGGGCAGUUCGCGGUGGUGGCGGUCCGGGGUGAGAAGCCGCGGAGGUUUGUGAUUUCGCUGAGCUGCCUUGAGCAUCCUGUGUUUCUGAGACUACUGGAGCUGGCAGAGGAGGAGUUCGGGUUCCAGCAUGAGGGGGUGUUGGCGAUUCCGUGCAGGCCGAGUGAGUUGGAGAGGAUCAUCAGAGAGCUCUCGUGAUGAUGAGCAAGAGAAGUAGGGGUUGGUUUAACCUAAUUGUGAUGAGCAAGAGGAGUAGGUGUUGGUUUAACCUAAUUGUUAUGGGUAGAAGCUAAUAGUGGAGGAG